Long non-coding RNA from Onychomys torridus (southern grasshopper mouse), 778 nucleotides. RefSeq lists it as uncharacterized. The transcript has 4 exons. The record is from RefSeq and is a predicted model, not a curated record. Lineage: Eukaryota; Metazoa; Chordata; Mammalia; Rodentia; Cricetidae.
UUUCUAAACUGGGAGGGAGAGAAAACAUGCUUGUUGGGAAAAGGAAUAGAGAGACCCACUUCUUGCUUAGGGAAAGGAGAAGAAAUAUGUCUCUAAAGAGACUUCAGAAAUGGUGACUUUAGAGACCGAGAGAUGAUGGUGAGAGAGGAAGAAAAUUCCUUAAAAGAGGUGGACCCUAGAGCUCCGUACCCGAAAGCCAGACCCUCCGCUCCCAGGACUGGAAGACUGGAUCUCAGUAUGUAGUCCUGGCUGAUCUGGACCCACUCUGCAGACCAAACAACACUGAACUCUGUCUUUGCCUCCUCAGUAUUGGGAUAAAAGAUGCUGAACUCCCUAAGACCAGGUGUCAAGUCUCAUCUACCUUGGUGCAUGCAUCCCUGAGCACAACACCCAGCACAGAGAAGUCUCAAGAAAUGUUUGCUGAUGAAUGAAUGAUCUGGUAGAAAGAACAAAGACUGAAGGUGUGACAACAGGAAAUUCAAAUGCUCCCCUGGGGAAAGAAAGAGAGAGACAGGCCAGGAGAAAGACUGCACAGCUGGCAGCAGGUGGCUAAGCAUGGAGAUGCUCUAAUGUCUCAGCAGCAUGAGGACCAGGUGAAAACGAACGGUUACCAGCCUGCCUCACCACGUCCGCCAGGUUCCAUGCCUGUUUUUGGCACCACAGAUGGUCUCCAUACCCAUCUGGAAGAAAGGCUCAGCUGAGGAGGACUCUUAGGGCUGAGGGCUCAGAGGGUGUACAUGAUUGAGCUCUCUCUCUCUCUCUUUGUGUGUGUGUGUGU